This 490-nucleotide ribosomal RNA is filed under the name uncultured bacterium. Its description in RNAcentral is "partial 16S ribosomal RNA". It matches the Rfam family "Bacterial small subunit ribosomal RNA", at positions 29 to 507 of the family's 1533-position model. The record is from RNAcentral.
AUUGAACGCUGGCGGCAGGCCUAACACAUGCAAGUCGAACGGUAACAGGAAGAAGCUUGCUUCUUUGCUGACGAGUGGCGGACGGGUGAGUAAUGUCUGGGAAACUGCCUGAUGGAGGGGGAUAACUACUGGAAACGGUAGCUAAUACCGCAUAACGUCGCAAGACCAAAGAGGGGGACCUUCGGGCCUCUUGCCAUCGGAUGUGCCCAGAUGGGAUUAGCUAGUAGGUGGGGUAACGGCUCACCUAGGCGACGAUCCCUAGCUGGUCUGAGAGGAUGACCGGCCACAAUGGAACGAAGCCCCGGCCAGGACUCCUAGGGGAGGGAGCAGGGGGAAAUUGUGAACAGGGGGCGGAAGCCUGAGGCAGCAAGGCCGGGUGUAGAAAGAAGGCCUGGGGGUUGUAAAGUCCUUUAAGGGGGGAGGAGGGGAGAAAAGUUAAUACCUUGCCUCAUUGACGUUACCCGAAGAAGAAGCACCGGCUAACUCCGUG